AAGUCGUAACAAGGUUUCCGUAGGUGAACCUGCGGAAGGAUCAUUAACACGUUCUUACGUAUUCACACCUGUGGAUCCGUCUGAUAAGUCUUUGUGAAGAAUGAUGUGCUAGACGAGACAAUGUGAUAGUGGGAAUUGCUUUCAGACUUGAUUGGUAGCGUGGGUUAUUUCGGUAACCCUUUAGCCUGCCUUGAUCACGUAGUCAGUUACUUUGAUCAGACUUGAAUAGCAACUCCCGUCUCGGAUAGCCUGCUGUCUCUUUCCGUCGUAAAAGAGAUGACGCGUUCUUUAUAAUGACUCUAAUUACUAUCAUGUUUCACUCUGAGUAACCCAAUUGUCUGAACAGAACAGCUGGUCGAAAGACCUUUUGUUAUUUACGGAAACGUAAUAUUACAACUGUUAGCAAUGGAUAUCUCGGCUCUC
RNAcentral lists this unclassified non-coding RNA (423 nucleotides) under fungal sp. RNAcentral's name for it is "partial internal transcribed spacer region". The stretch from base 1 to 46 matches the Rfam family "Eukaryotic small subunit ribosomal RNA", at positions 1786 to 1831 of the family's 1831-position model. Lineage: Eukaryota; Fungi. The record is from RNAcentral.